UGGGGAAUAUUGCACAAUGGGGGAAACCCUGAUGCAGCAACGCCGCGUGAGUGAAGAAGUAUUUCGGUAUGUAAAGCUCUAUCAGCAGGGAAGAAAAUGACAGUACCUGACUAAGAAGCCCCGGCUAACUACGUGCCAGCAGCCGCGGUAAUACGUAGGGGGCAAGCGUUAUCCGGAUUUACUGGGUGUAAAGGGAGCGUAGACGGCUGUGCAAGUCAGAAGUGAAAGCCCGGGGCUCAACCGCGGGACUGCUUUUGAAACUGUGUAGCUGGAGUGCAGGAGAGGUAAGUGGAAUUCCUAGUGUAGCGGUGAAAUGCGUAGAUAUUAGGAGGAACACCGGUGGCGAAGGCGGCUUACUGGACUGUAACUGACGUUGAGGCUCGAAAGCGUGGGGAGCAAACAGGAUUAGAUACC
RNAcentral lists this ribosomal RNA (414 nucleotides) under uncultured bacterium. RNAcentral's name for it is "bacterial SSU rRNA". It matches the Rfam family "Bacterial small subunit ribosomal RNA", at positions 355 to 786 of the family's 1533-position model. The record is from RNAcentral.